Molecule: ribosomal RNA, 429 nt
Filed under: uncultured Acidobacterium sp.
Lineage: Bacteria; Pseudomonadati; Acidobacteriota; Terriglobia; Terriglobales; Acidobacteriaceae
Description: bacterial SSU rRNA
Rfam family: Bacterial small subunit ribosomal RNA
Source: RNAcentral
AACGCGAAGAACCUUACCUGGGCUCGAAGCGCAGUGGACCGGGGUAGAAAUAUCCCUUCCCCUUAAAAGGCUGCUGCGGAGGUGCUGCAUGGCUGUCGUCAGCUCGUGUCGUGAGAUGUUGGGUUAAGUCCCGCAACGAGCGCAACCCUUAUCCCUAGUUGCCAUCGGGUCAAGCCGGGCACUCUAGUGAAACUGCCUCGGAUAACGAGGAGGAAGGUGGGGAUGACGUCAAGUCCUCAUGGCCUUUAUGUCCAGGGCUACACACGUGCUACAAUGGUCGGUACAAACCGUCGCAAACCCGUGAGGGGGAGCUAAUCGGAAAAAGCCGGCCUCAGUUCGGAUUGGAGUCUGCAACUCGACUCCAUGAAGCUGGAAUCGCUAGUAAUCGCGGAUCAGAACGCCGCGGUGAAUACGUUCCCGGGCCUUGUA